This 21-nucleotide non-coding RNA is filed under the name Caenorhabditis elegans. The record is from RNAcentral. Lineage: Eukaryota; Metazoa; Nematoda; Chromadorea; Rhabditida; Rhabditidae.
UUUACCUUCUGCCUUUUUGAA